Molecule: unclassified non-coding RNA, 343 nt
Filed under: soil metagenome
Description: partial contains 5.8S ribosomal RNA, internal transcribed spacer 2, and large subunit ribosomal RNA
Rfam family: 5.8S ribosomal RNA (bases 1-120)
Source: RNAcentral
GAUGAAGAACGCAGCGAAAUGCGAUAAGUAAUGUGAAUUGUAGAAUUCAGUGAAUCAUCGAAUCUUUGAACGCACAUUGCGCCCGCUAGUAUUCUGGCGGGCAUGCCUGUCCGAGCGUCAUUUCAACCCUCAAGCCCCCGGGCUUGGUGUUGGGGAUCGGCGAGCCUCCGCGCCCGCCGUCCCCUAAAUCUAGUGGCGGUCUCGCUGUAGCUUCCUCUGCGUAGUAGCACACCUCGCACUGGGAAACAGCGCGGCCACGCCGUUAAACCCCCAACUUCUGAACGUUUGACCUCGGAUCAGGUAGGAAUACCCGCUGAACUUAAGCAUAUCAAUAAGCGGAGGA